AGUGAACGCUGGCGGUAGGCCUAACACAUGCAAGUCGAACGGCAGCACAGUAAGAGCUUGCUCUUACGGGUGGCGAGUGGCGGACGGGUGAGGAAUACAUCGGAAUCUACUUUUUCGUGGGGGAUAACGUAGGGAAACUUACGCUAAUACCGCAUACGACCUACGGGUGAAAGCAGGGGAUCUUCGGACCUUGCGCGAUUGAAUGAGCCGAUGUCGGAUUAGCUAGUUGGCGGGGUAAAGGCCCACCAAGGCGACGAUCCGUAGCUGGUCUGGGAGGAUGAUCAGCCACACUGGAACUGAGACACGGUCCAGACUCCUACGGGAGGCAGCAGUGGGGAAUAUUGGACAAUGGGCGCAAGCCUGAUCCAGCCAUACCGCGUGGGUGAAGAAGGCCUUCGGGUUGUAAAGCCCUUUUGUUGGGAAAGAAAAGCAGCAGGUUAAUACCCCGCUGUUCUGACGGUACCCACAGAAUAAGCACCGGCUAACUUCGUG
This 492-nucleotide ribosomal RNA is filed under the name uncultured bacterium. RNAcentral's name for it is "partial 16S ribosomal RNA". It matches the Rfam family "Bacterial small subunit ribosomal RNA", at positions 29 to 507 of the family's 1533-position model. The record is from RNAcentral.